UCCCUGGUGGCUUAGACGGUAAAGCAUCUGCCUGCAAUGCGGGAGACCCGGGUUCGAUCCCUGGGUCGGGAA
RNAcentral lists this transfer RNA (72 nucleotides) under Bos taurus (domestic cattle). It matches the Rfam family "tRNA". Rfam says of the family: Transfer RNA (tRNA) molecules are approximately 80 nucleotides in length. The record is from Rfam by way of RNAcentral. Lineage: Eukaryota; Metazoa; Chordata; Mammalia; Artiodactyla; Bovidae. RNAcentral also lists the same sequence under 2 other names.